GAUGAACGCUGGCGGCGUGCCUAAUACAUGCAAGUCGAACGCAUAGCGAAAGGUGCUUGCACCUUUCAAGUGAGUGGCGAACGGGUGAGUAACACGUGGACAACCUGCCUCGAGGCUGGGGAUAACAUUUGGAAACAGAUGCUAAUACCGAAUAAAACUUAGUGUCGCAUGACACAAAGUUAAAAGGCGCUUCGGCGUCACCUAGAGAUGGAUCCGCGGUGCAUUAGUUAGUUGGUGGGGUAAAGGCCUACCAAGACAAUGAUGCAUAGCCGAGUUGAGAGGCUGAUCGGCCACAUUGGGACUGAGACACGGCCCAAACUCCUACGGGAGGCUGCAGUAGGGAAUCUUCCACAAUGGGCGAAAGCCUGAUGGAGCAACGCCGCGUGUGUGAUGAAGGCUUUCGGGUCGUAAAGCACUGUUGUAUGGGAAGAACAGCUAGAAUAGGAAAUGAUUUUAGUUUGACGGUACCAUACCAGAAAGGGACGGCUAAAUACGUG
RNAcentral lists this ribosomal RNA (497 nucleotides) under uncultured bacterium. Its description in RNAcentral is "partial 16S ribosomal RNA". It matches the Rfam family "Bacterial small subunit ribosomal RNA", at positions 28 to 507 of the family's 1533-position model. The record is from RNAcentral.